GGAUAACGUUUGGAAACGAACGCUAAUACCGCAUGAUAUUAUUGAGCUGCAUGGCUUGAUAAUCAAAGGAGCAAUCCGCUGAAAGAUGGGCUCGCGUCCGAUUAGGUAGUUGGCGGGGCAACGGCCCACCAAGCCGACGAUCGGUAGCCGGACUGAGAGGUUGAACGGCCACAUUGGGACUGAGACACGGCCCAGACUCCUACGGGAGGCAGCAGUGAGGGAUAUUGGUCAAUGGGGGAAACCCUGAACCAGCAACGCCGCGUGAGGGAAGACGGUUUUCGGAUUGUAAACCUCUGUCCUCUGUGAAGAUAAUGACGGUAGCAGAGGAGGAAGCUCCGGCUAACUACGUGCCAGCAGCCGCGGUAAUACGUAGGGAGCAAGCGUUGUCCGGAUUUACUGGGUGUAAAGGGUGCGUAGGCGGCUUUGCAAGUCAGAAGUGAAAUCCAUGGGCUUAACCCAUGAACUGCUUUUGAAACUGCAGAGCUUGAGUGGAGUAGAGGUAGGCGGAAUUCCCGGUGUAGCGGUGAAAUGCGUAGAGAUCGGAAGGAACACCAGUGGCGAAGGCGGCCUGCUGGGCUCUAACUGACGCUGAGGCACGAAAGCGUGGGUAGCAAACAGGAUUAGAUACCCUGGUAGUCCACGCUGUAAACGAUGAUUACUAGGUGUGGGUGGACUGACCCCAUCCGUGCCGGA
RNAcentral lists this ribosomal RNA (693 nucleotides) under uncultured bacterium. RNAcentral describes it as "bacterial SSU rRNA". It matches the Rfam family "Bacterial small subunit ribosomal RNA", at positions 141 to 850 of the family's 1533-position model. The record is from RNAcentral.